Molecule: long non-coding RNA, 730 nt
Filed under: Citrus x clementina
Lineage: Eukaryota; Viridiplantae; Streptophyta; Magnoliopsida; Sapindales; Rutaceae
Description: Citrus clementina (C. clementina) long non-coding RNA (CCLE_LNC000735)
Source: RNAcentral
GAGCUGUUCGAUGAGCAUAAAUCAGGGAUGCAAGAGUUUCUCUGGACUGUUGGUGGCGGCGCCACUGGCAGCAUAUUCCUAUAUGUUGUUGCCAUUGCCUGGUGCAAGCACAAACGUUUGCUGGAGUAAUAUAAUCCUGCUGUGUAUCAGUAAAGAAGCAAUUGAUUUCAGGAGCUGUUGUGUCGAUGGAUUUGCUAUGUACAAACAUAAACGCACCCUUUGAUAAGCUGGAGCAUGCAUCCUGUUUUUUGUGAAUACUAUGAGAUAUGCUUCGAGUGCACGGAACAUUAAUAUUUAAUAUUUAAUACACUUUCUACGUGCCUGAAGAUUCGUAAUUGAUAAUGUAAUGUGAUCACUAUCAACUAUUCUAAUGAGCAACGUAGCAGUUGACGGAAACGUAUUUUUAAUAAAUAUCAUUAGUUCGCUUCCAAAAGUUUUCGUUUCGACUCUUGUCAAUGAUGCUGCCACUCGAUUAAUUAAUUAAAAUUUUCAGAUAUCUUGCAAUUAAACAAAUUUAUCAUGUUCGUGCAAUUUAAGUUGAUUAAAAAUCUGCAGUCAGCGUACUACAAACGGAUCAAACAGCAUUGACCAUGAGAAUCCACCCGCCACGAUCUAGACCUGAACAUGAAAACAACCCUGAUCCGACGCAACAGCCGACCACUAACCUGGCAGUCACCUCGGUUGGGGGGGUCCGGAAGAAGGUAGCCGGAGUUCGACCCUGGUUGGUUUU